Molecule: long non-coding RNA, 719 nt
Organism: Carassius carassius (crucian carp)
Lineage: Eukaryota; Metazoa; Chordata; Actinopteri; Cypriniformes; Cyprinidae
Exons: 3
Source: RefSeq, a predicted model, not a curated record
ACGUAGUGAAUAAUGAAAGGACACAAUCGUUUUGUAUGUGUAUGCCUUUAGCAUUUGUUGUAUAAUGUUAAAAAGGUCAUAUGAGGAGGUUGUUUUCAUAUUUAAUUUUUCAUUCACUUCCAGGGAUAGGAUUGGCAUGGAAGAUGCAGCACUCUUUACAUUUUAAAUGUAUGUUGCCAUCCUAGAAGUCAAAGUCUUUUUACAUGUGACAUUAACAUGUACAUAUUUAUUUUUUCUAUUUUGUUGUUCUGUUAUUCUAUUGUUUGAUUUUUUUGUUUCAGAUCAAAUGUAUAUCAAGUGUUAUCCAUGCUCAUAACACCUCCACAAAUAGAGACUGGAUCUUCUGUGCACCAUCAUCUUGUCUGCUUUGGGACUGUCAAAGCCCAGCAAUCAGAUGCAUCAGAACAACAAAGCACAACUGUGGUGGCCCAGGAACCUUCAGCAACAAGUACAUUGCUUUAACAUUAAUGAUAAUGCAAUGUCAGUAUUGUAAUUAAACUUGACCCAUCUGACGUAAUUGUUCAUGCCAGAGAUUUAACAACAUUGUCAGUCAGGAGCAUAUUUAACUAACAGGAGGCACACUUCAGCUGGCUUGAUAGUGACUUCAGUGCAGUGAAGAUAUUUAAAGAGACACUAUCACAUAAAGUACAGAAAGCCUUACAUCAUCUCUAGGUGCAGUCGCCUACAGUGCAGCCAGCUUCACAAAGACUGUGGGGCUG